ACCCCUCCCCUGCUCACACUCUGUGUCUCUCUGUCUCUCAGUAAUAAAUAAACGUUAAAAUUUUUUUUAAAAGAAAAGUUACACAAAUAUUCAGUAAUACCAGUUUGUUGUUUUACCUUGAGUGGCUUCAAAACAUUGCGUACCUAAGUGACAUUAUUGGCCCCAGAAAAAUCUUUGGAGAAAGUACAAAUGAAUAAAAUUACAGGACUGAAAUCUUUGGACUCUAAAAUUUGAGAGGCCUGUCCAUAAAUGAGUUCUCAUUUCCAAACUGAAUUUAUCACUUACCAUUAAUCUGUGCAAAUUGUGAUUGAUUUUAGAAAAUCUGUGAAAAGUUGAGUUUUUAGAAACUGGAGAAUUUUACAGCUCUGAAUGGCUUUCUUCAAAGUAGUAACUCCUAGAAUCAUGUAUUUUUCUUUCUUUAUUUUUUAUUUAUUUUUGAGAGUGAGAGACAGAGCAUGAGCAGGGGAGGGGCAGAGAAAGAAGGAGACACAGAAUCUGCAGUGGGCUCCAGGCUCUGAGCUGUCAGCACAGAGCCCAAUGCGGGGCUUGAAGUCAGGAACCGUGAGAUCAUGACCUGUGCUGAAGUCGAAUGCUCAACUCACUGAGCCACCCAGGCACCCCAGAACCAUCUAUUUUUUAAUUCAAGAGUGUCACAUAGGAUUAUGGUUUAUAAUUUUUCAAAUUCUACUUAUUUUGUUUUGAAUGGGUAAAAAACCACCAUAACUUGUAAAGUCUGAGCACAUCACAUACUUUAGAUAAUGGGAAUUGUUAGCUAACAUUAAUUGAACACUUGUGAUACCCGAUACUAUCCUAAACCUUUUGCAUCUUGGAAUAAUUGAAUCUCCCUAACAACCCAAUAAGGUAGACACUAUUGUGAUUUCCAUUUCACAGAUCAGGAAACGGAGAUAAUGACAAAUGAAGUGACUCUUUCUGAGGACUAACAGAUGUAAGUGGAGGAAUCAGAAUUUGGAUCCAGGAUGGAAACAAAGCCUACACUUACAAGAUGUGCAGAGGAGAAAGGUUUACCACAGCUGCUCAAGGAAGAUGGACCCAGAAUAAGAAAUUUUCUACUUGGAUUUGGGGAAACAGUAAAUUCAUUCAGGAACAAAAAAGAAAAAAAAAGAAAGAAAGAAAAGAAAAGAAAAGCAAGGUUUAGAAAAGAAACACUGCCACCACAAGCUACAGAUUCCAUUGUUUCUAGGGAAAAAUUCAUUUACAUCAAAUAUCUGAAGCUGUCAGUGCACACAAAGACUUUGAAAGCAUUUGUUUGGAGCUAA
This 1277-nucleotide long non-coding RNA is filed under the name Felis catus (domestic cat). RNAcentral's name for it is "lncRNA (ENSFCAG00000041588.2)". The record is from RNAcentral. Lineage: Eukaryota; Metazoa; Chordata; Mammalia; Carnivora; Felidae.